This 1040-nucleotide long non-coding RNA is filed under the name Accipiter nisus (Eurasian sparrowhawk). RNAcentral describes it as "lncRNA (ENSANIG00000017063.1)". Lineage: Eukaryota; Metazoa; Chordata; Aves; Accipitriformes; Accipitridae. The record is from RNAcentral.
AUGGGUUUUGCCAUCCGAGGUAAAAAGACAGUGAGACUAGAGGGAGUUCGAUAUGUUAAAAAACAGAGGCACUGGAUGGAUUCCACCAAUGCUGUAAUGAAAAUAGGUACAGAGCUGCAUCCUUCACAAGGCCUCCGCUGAGACAAGUUGUUGAUAAAGCCAAGUGGCUUCAAGAGAUUUCCUGAGCCACAAGGAUGAACUGUGACUGUGAGCUACAAGAAUGUGACUCACACUUCCAGAGGUGUUUCCUGGCUAUUACAGCCACUAUCGAUAAUAAUAGGCCAAUCUGAAGCUGUGCUGGGAUAUGUAUUUGUGUAUGGUUACUGUACUGAGAAGUAGUAUAUUUUGAUUUGCACAUAUAUAUUUGCACUACUGCUGCUAGUCAUUUUCAUGCAAAUUGUUGUCUUUAUCCCAUGCAAUUCUAAUGAGAUAACACAGUUGUCAAGCAGAGCGGAAUUUGGCACACCAUGUUGACCAAGCCUUAUUUCAAGCUUUCCCUGUGUGCCAUCUUAACGUGGUGUCUUCACACCACAAAUAUAGUUGUCUUUAGCCAAAUGUGAUUGUUUGGUGCACAAACAUAUGUGAAUGCAGUACCUCAGUAAAGUCUGACAUUUGUUUGUGUUGUAUUUUUCUUAAUUUAUCAUUUUCAUCCACCUUUGUUUCCUCAGAAGAUUCUCACAGAUCUUAAAAUUAUUUUGAUGGGAGAAUUUUCCAACAAAAAAGUGAAGUUAGUAGAAAGUUAAUUUUUGUAGGGAAGUUUUGAUUUCAAUAGCUGUUUUCAUAGGAAACAGUAAACACUGAAAUGAAUUGAAAUAAACAUCCACAAAUCUUUUGCAGGUCCUACAUAAAAAUAUCUGGAAUAUUUAUUUUGAAGCAAACUUAAAUUUUCCAGUAGUAUUCUGGUUUGGAGCACUAAUUUGUGAAGUGUUGAACUUCCUUCAGGUAAUUAAAGAGCUCUAAUCACACAUUUUAUUUCCCCAGAAGUCAUUAGGAACAACCAACAUAGUCUUAGCUGUUGUAUUUGAGCUUUCAAGUCUUUC